Molecule: ribosomal RNA, 462 nt
Filed under: uncultured beta proteobacterium
Lineage: Bacteria; Pseudomonadati; Pseudomonadota; Betaproteobacteria
Description: bacterial SSU rRNA
Rfam family: Bacterial small subunit ribosomal RNA
Source: RNAcentral
AGGAAAGCAGGGGAUCGCAAGACCUUGCGCUUUUGGAGCGGCCGAUGUCUGAUUAGCUAGUUGGUGAGGUAAAGGCUUACCAAGGCGUCGAUCAGUAGCUGGUCUGAGAGGACGACCAGCCACACUGGGACUGAGACACGGCCCAGACUCCUACGGGAGGCAGCAGUGGGGAAUUUUGGACAAUGGGGGAAACCCUGAUCCAGCCAUGCCGCGUGAGUGAAGAAGGCCUUCGGGUUGUAAAGCUCUUUCAGCCGGAACGAAACGGUCACAGCUAAUACCUGUGACUACUGACGGUACCGGAAGAAGAAGCACCGGCUAACUACGUGCCAGCAGCCGCGGUAAUACGUAGGGUGCGAGCGUUAAUCGGAAUUACUGGGCGUAAAGCGUGCGCAGGCGGUUUUGUAAGUCAGAUGUGAAAUCCCCGGGCUUAACCNUGGGAACUGCGUUUGAAACUACAAAGCU